GGUUAUGGCUCAGCAGUAGAGUGCUCGCCUCGCAUGUGUAAGGCCCUGGGUUCGAUCCUCAGCACCA
Molecule: transfer RNA, 67 nt
Filed under: Marmota monax (woodchuck)
Lineage: Eukaryota; Metazoa; Chordata; Mammalia; Rodentia; Sciuridae
Description: tRNA.Ala
Source: RNAcentral